GUGCUAGCUUUGGCAGCACACAUACUAAAAUUGGAAUGAUACAGAGAUUAGCACGGCCCCUGUGCAAGGAUGAUGCAAAUUUGUGAAGCAUUCCAUAUUUUU
Molecule: small nuclear RNA, 102 nt
Filed under: Chinchilla lanigera (long-tailed chinchilla)
Lineage: Eukaryota; Metazoa; Chordata; Mammalia; Rodentia; Chinchillidae
Source: RNAcentral